UGGGGAAUAUUGCACAAUGGAGGGAACUCUGAUGCAGCGACGCCGCGUGAACGAAGAAGGCUUUCGAGUCGUAAAGUUCUUUUAUAUGGGAAGAUAAUGACGGUACCAUAAGAAAAAGCCCCGGCUAACUACGUGCCAGCAGCCGCGGUAAUACGUAGGGGGCUAGCGUUGUCCGGAAUCACUGGGCGUAAAGGGUUCGCAGGCGGAAAUGCAAGUCAGGUGUAAAAGGCAGUAGCUUAACUACUGUAAGCAUUUGAAACUGCAUAUCUGGAGAAGAGUAGAGGUAAGUGGAAUUUUUGGUGUAGCGGUGAAAUGCGUAGAUAUUAAAAAGAAUACCGGUGGCGAAGGCGACUUACUGGGCUCAUUCUGACGCUGAGGAACGAAAGCGUGGGUAGCAAACAGG
This 403-nucleotide ribosomal RNA is filed under the name Verrucomicrobiota bacterium. Its description in RNAcentral is "Verrucomicrobia bacterium partial 16S ribosomal RNA". It matches the Rfam family "Bacterial small subunit ribosomal RNA", at positions 355 to 776 of the family's 1533-position model. The record is from RNAcentral. Lineage: Bacteria; Pseudomonadati; Verrucomicrobiota.